Molecule: ribosomal RNA, 250 nt
Filed under: uncultured prokaryote
Description: partial 16S ribosomal RNA
Rfam family: Bacterial small subunit ribosomal RNA
Source: RNAcentral
UACGUAGGGAGCAAGCGUUAUCCGGAUUUAUUGGGUGUAAAGGGUGCGUAGACGGGAAUGUAAGUUAGUUGUGAAAUCCCUCGGCUCGACUGAGGAACUGCAACUAAAACUAUAUUUCUUGAGUACUGGAGAGGAAAGUGGAAUUCCUAGUGUAGCGGUGAAAUGCGUAGAUAUUAGGAGGAACACCAGUGGCGAAGGCGACUUUCUGGACAGAAACUGACGUUGAGGCACGAAAGUGUGGGGAGCAAAC